AGUUUGCUGUGUAGAAAACAGAAGAAUGAAAGGGGAAAGGCCCAAUGGUGGGUUUGUUUUUGUAGGUUUUUUUUUUCUGUUUUUUUUUUUUUUUUUUUUUUUUUUCCGAGCUGUCACUGGGCUCCUGACCUGCCCCUGAACUCCACCCUGCCAGGCAGCCAACAGACAAGCUCUCUCUAAUUGACCCAGGCAAGAGAGGGGAGGGAUUGGAGGAGAAAGCUGGGAUAGGCAGGCCCUGGAAAGGUCACCUACCUGCUGGCUCCAGGCCAGUCUUGAAGGUGCCAGGGGUUCUGGCCCAGUGCAGCCCACAGGCCCCCAGCAGCCCAUGCACUCCAGGCUCUGACCACAAGGCCAGUCUAGAGGGAUGUGUGUGGGCAGAGUGAAGGGGCAGGGGUGGAGCAGAGCAUGGAUGCAUAGAACAAGAAAGAACAAGGACACUGCAGUCCCAUUGCCCUGGGAGUCAGCCCCAGCUUCAUGGCUCCUGGGGACCUCAGAGAACAUUGAUAGAAGAUCCUAGAAGAACCACAACCCGUGGCAGGUGGUUUUAUUUCCCUGGGUUUGAAGGAGGCUCCACAGACAAGAGACCAGAGGAGGCCGAGGUUUGGAAGCCACAGGGCCCCGUGGAAGGGGGGCAUCCCCCCAUCCUCCUCGUUCUUUAUCCUCACUUUAAAGUCCAAGGUCAAGCUGUGCACGAGACAGGUAAACAACCAUCUGAGUAAAGGUGAAUCUCCCAAGACUUCCAAGAAAUGCGUGAGUUCAGAGGCAAGCGGACAGGUGGGAGUGUGGGGGAAGCUGAGGCAUGGGAAUUCCAGGCAGAGGAGAGGCUUCUCAUAUGCUAGGGCCAUGGACCCCUCCUCCCUCCUCUGUGCCCAUGAGGAAUCCCCGUGACUGGCAGGUCCUCAGGCUACUAGCUCCACCCCUGCCCUCAGCAACCCUCAGGAGGUUCCCUUGACUAAGACUUUGUAUUGCACUCUAGUAACAACCUGUCGGACCCACACGGGGUGACACAGAAAAGAGGCGAGAAUGUGAGAUUAAUAGAGUGGUAGCAAGUGAAUACAAAAUCCCAGGCAGCAGUUUCACAUGAGGAGAAGAAGGAAACUUGAAAUAGCUGCAUGCGCUAAGGGCCAAUAAGUCCCUGAAAAAUAGGAUGAGGACCAAGCUGGCUACGACCAACCAGACACAACAUGGCGCUGUAUUUGAUGUAGGUUUCACCUAGGAUCUCAUUGUAUGAUCAGUAACAUAUGAAACCGUACACCCACCAGUGCCAAGACGGCUCCAGGAACACCUGUAUUUGGGUGUAAAUUGUGGCACCACGGUCUUGAGAAAUCUUUACCUUUUCCUGGACUCUUCAUGAAUAUACCCCUCUUUAGUUGAAGAAGCCCAUAAAGGUCAGCCCCACACCUUGUAGGGCAUGAGACACUCUCUUGAGGACCCCCACGUUCCUCUUCUUCAGUGAGUCCCUUUACUCUGCAGGAAAUCUGCCUACAUUCAUGACUUUUGCACUUGUCCUUAAAUUGUUUCUGGCUAAGGUGCCAAGAGCCUGGAGAAGGCCUGGCACGGUGGCUCACUCCUGUAAUCCCAGCACUUUGGGAGGCCGAGGCAGGCAGACCACCUGAAGUCGGGAGUUUGAGACCAGCCUGACCAACAUGGAGAAACCUUGUCUCUACUAAAAAUAGAAAAUUAGUCAAGCCUGGUGGCACACGCCUGUAAUCCCAGCUACUUGGGAGGCUGAGGCAGGAGAAUCGCUUGAACCCGGGAGGCGGAGGUUGCGGUGAGCCAAGAUCACGCCAUUGCACUCCAGCCUGGGCAACAAGAGUGAAACUCGGUCUCAAAAAAACAAAACAAAACAAAAAAAAGCGUGGAAACGGGCUGAGGUCGAUGUCCCACCGGUCUUUGAUGACCUCCCCUAGGCCACCAGUAUCUGGAGGGGAUUAGGGACACUGAGCUCCAGCAGGGCUAUCCAGUGUGCCUGCAGAAACAAGGUUGGUCACAGGCAGCCCAGGACAGGGAGUGGGGUAGGGAGGCUGGGGCCAAAGCCCACUCACGUCUUCUAAUUCCGAGUCUUCCACUAUUUCCCCCGUGCUCAUCCAUCACAGCCAGAUCAGGUCACCCAAAGCAGUGACGCCUCACAGCUACCAAGGCAUGGGGCCAGAGAGAGAGACAGAGUCAGGCAUCACAAGCCCCCUCCAGGCUCAGCCCUGAAUACCAAGAUCAGGACACGGCUGCCCCGGCCUGGAUUGCACAACUGGGCACCCUCUUCCCAAAGCUGGACCAGGCUGGGGCCGGGGGACUGCACUCAGCUAGGGCAUUGGCCCUCUAGGGGCAGAAGCUGCCCUGGUUCUUCCGGAAGGAACUCCUCUCACAGGCAGAUCACGUGGGCUCUUAGCCAACAGCCAGGGUUGGGGCAACACAAGGGCCCCGCUUCAUCCUGUCCCAGGCAGCAGGCAGGUAAGAGACAAGGAGGGAGAGGCAGCUGGCAGCAACCCCUCUAUGCAGCAGGCACUGUUCCGGGCAUUACACAGCUCCAUCCCGUGAGGCAGAGGUAUGAGGUAGAUGACAUUGAUGAAGAAGGCAAAGCGUGAGUGUCCAGGCCAGGGCAGGGCAUGGAGCCUGGGGGCAGCCUACCAGCUGGGAAGGAGCAUCCCCACCCGGCCACAGGUUGACACAAGCCCCUCUACCACCAGGAGACACACCGUGAGCUUGCGCCGGAUCAUCCCGCUGACCCGGUGGAAGGCCAACCCCGAGACAGACCCCGAGGCCUUGUUAGUCAAGGAGAAAACCAUGUUCUCAGGAUGCUGUGACCUUGGUGACAGCACGGCCAACACAGGAAGCCUGGGCAACACAGGCAGUUGGGCCCGGGUGACCACUACCACCAAUAUGCAGAGACUGGUAGUGGCCCCGAACGUCGGGCUGCGCUGUUAUUUAUUGGAUACAAGGCUGAAGGGUCAGGGUAAAGAAUGUGAGUCACCUCCAAUGAUAGGUAAGGUCACGUGGGUCACGUGUCCACUGGACAGGGGGCCCUUCCCUGCCUGGCAGCCGAGGCAGAGAGGGAGAGGAGACAAAGAGAAAGACAGCUUAUGCCAUUAUUUCUGCAUAUCAGGGACUAUUAGUAUUUUCACUAAUUUACCACUGCUAUCUAGAAGGCAGAGUCAGGUGUACAGGAUGAAACAUGAAGGUGGACUAGGAGUGUGACCACUGAAGCACAGCAUCACAGGGAGACGCUGGACCACGAUCCGCCUGGUAACGGGCAUCUUCCCAGAUGCUGGUGUCACCGCUAGACCAAGGAGCCCUCUGGUGGCCCUGUCCAGGCAUAACAGAAGGCUCGCACUCCUGUCUUCCGGUCACACCUCACUAUGUCCCUUCAGCUCCUAUCUGUGUAUGGCCUGGUUUUUCCUAGGCUAUGAUUAUUGAGCGAGGGUUAUUAUAAUAUUGGAAGAAAAAGUAAUUGCUACAAACUAAUGAUUAAUGAUAUUCAUAUAUAAUCAUAUCUAAGAUCUAUAUCUGGUAUAACUAUUCUUGUUUUAUAUUUUAUUAUACUGGAACAGAUCGUGUCCUCUGUCUCUUGCCUCGGUGCCUGGGUGGCUUGCCGCCCACAAUUCUCCUGACUCAGCCUCUUGAGUAGCUGGGAUUACAGGCGUGCGCCACCAUGCCUGGCUAAUUUUUUGUAUUUUUAGUAGAGACUGGGUUUCACCAUUUUGGUCUGGCUGGUCUCGAACUCCUGACCUCAAGUGAUCUGCUCACCUCGGCCUCUCAAAGUGGUGAGAUUACAGGUGUGAGCCACCAUGCCAGGCCAGUUUUAUUUUUUUAAAUACAGACAGGGUCUUGCUAUGUUGCCCAAGCUGGUCUCGAACUCCUAACCUCAAGGGAUCCUCUCGCCUCACCCUCCCAAAGUGUUAGGAUUACAGGCAUGAGCCACCACACCCGACGUACUUCAUUAUUUCUUAUGUGAACUUGGCUACAAUAACCCCCCACUCUGGUUUCCUCUGCUGCAAUUACCUAACCGUGAAGUGCAAGAUCCUCAGCUCCGGGUGUUCAACAGUCUCCAGGAUCCAAACUCAUUCCAAGUUGCUCAACAAAUACUCUGUGAACACCAAACUGCCUGUGGUUUCUCCCCUCUGGGCAUACCGUGGUGCUUUACACAUUGUCAACUCUACUCAGCUCUUCUGCCCCUGGAAUGACCUGUCCCCCAGUAUGUGCCUAACUCCAGAUCUUUUUUUUUAUUUUUUAUUUUUUAUUUUGAGACAGGGUCUCGCUGUGUUACCCAGGCUGGAGUGCAGUGGUACAAUCAUAGCUUACUGCAGUCUUGACCUCCUGGGCUCAGGAGAUCCUCCCACCUCAGCCUCCUGAGUAGCUGGGACUACAGGUGUGAGCCACCAUGACCAGCUCAUUUUUGUAUUUGUGGAGAUGAGGUUUCAUCGUCAUAUUGCCCAGGCUGGUCUCAAAUUCCUGAGCUCAAGCAAUCUACCCACCUUGGCCUCCCAAAGUGCUAGCAUUACAGGCAUGAGCCACUGGUGCCUGGCCCCAGCAAGACUUCCUUGAUCCCCACUCCCACACCUCCUCGCUGUGCUGAGUACCCAUGGGCUCUGAGAGCAUUUCUCAUCGAACUCUAGUUAAUGACUUGUCUAUUUAUCUAUCUAUCCCACUAGACUCUAAGUCCCUUUAGGACAGAAUCUCUGUUUUAUAUGGUUUUUUGGGUAUCUUCCACUAACACCUAGGACAGCACCUGGAAGACAGUUUCUUUUCUUUUCUUUUUUUUUUUCUUUUUGUGACGGAGUCUCCCUCUGUUGCCAGGCUGGAGUGCAGUGGCACGAUCUCAGCUCACUGCAACCUCCGCCUCCCGGGUUCCAGCAAUUGUCCUGCCUCAGUCUCCUGAGUAGCUGGGAUUACAGGCACCCGCCACCAUGCCUGGCUAAUUUUUGUAUUUUUAGUAGUGACGGGGUUUCACCAAGUUGGCCAGGAUGGUCUCAAUCUCUUGACCUAGUGAUCCGCCUGCCAAAGUGCUGGGAUUACAGGUGUGAGUUGUCGUGCCCGGCCGACAAUUUCUUAUCACAAGAAAUCUUCCCAAAAAAUCUCCAAAUGGGCUGGGCUUUAGACUGCUGGUAUACCCUCUUUCUUUUCCUGAGGGUAGAUGAGACUCACUCAUUGUAACCACUGUUUUUUAAAACAGUAUGCAAAUAUUCCUGCGGUUUUGUUCAUUUACAAAUCCCUGCCUGAAGCUUCUUUCUUUCCCAAUUCUACUUCCUGCUCUUUUUUUUUUUUUUUGAACCAGGGCCUCACUCUGUCACUCAGGCUGGUGUGCAGCGGUGCAAUCACAGCUUAUUGCAGCCUUGACCUCCCAGGCUUGCAAUCCUCCCAUCUCAGCUUCCUGAGCAGCUGGGACAACAGACGCUUGCCACUAUGCCCAGCUAAUUUAUUUUAUUUUUGUAGAGAUGGGGUCUCACUGUGUUGCGCAGGCUGGUCUGAAACUGCUGAGCUCUACCGAUCCUCUUGCCUCAGCCUCCCAAAAUGCUGGGAUUACAAGUGUGAGCCGGCUACUUCCCGCUCUUUUUUUUUUUUUUUUUUUUUUUUGAGACAGAGUCUCGCUCUGUCGCCCAGGCUGGAGUGCAGUGGCGUGAUAUCGGCUUAGUGCAACCUCCGCCUUCCGGGUUCAAGUGAUUCUCCUGCCUCAGCCUCCCAAGUAGCUGGAACUACAGGCUCGUACCACCAUGCCCUGCUAAUUUUUUUAUUUUUAGUGGAGACAGGGUUUCACCAUGUUAGCCAGGAUGGUCUCGAUCUCCCGACCUUGUGAUCCACCCGCCUCCACCUCCCAAAGUGUUGGGAUUACAGGCGUGAGCCACCGUGCCCGGCCUAAAUUUUGCACUGGACUGGACUAUAUAUAUUUGUGCCGAGCAAACAGUAAAACCGCUGAUUUGUUUUGAACCUUGGAGUAACCCUUGGAAACCUUCUCCUUCACUAUCAAUACCUUUGUGAUGUUAAAGUUCUUUUCACCAGGACUCCGCAGAAUGCUCACCUGAAAACAUUGGCUCUGAAUGUGGGAAUGAUUCCAUUAAGCCACUCACAGUCUACCAUCCUUAUUUUGCAAAUAGAAUCCCAAAUUUACAAAAUAAAUUGUCCCUUUGGCUGCAAAAUUUACAAAAUAAAUUCUGAUCAUUAAUAAGAGUUAAUAUAAUAAAGUCAGAAAUCAUUGAGAA
This is a long non-coding RNA of Homo sapiens (human), 6191 nucleotides long. RefSeq lists it as uncharacterized. NCBI's taxonomy places the organism in Eukaryota, Metazoa, Chordata, Mammalia, Primates, Hominidae. The transcript has 2 exons. The record is from RefSeq and is a predicted model, not a curated record.